UACGAAGGGGGCUAGCGUUGCUCGGAAUUACUGGGCGUAAAGGGAGCGUAGGCGGAUAGUUUAGUCAGAGGUGAAAGCCCAGGGCUCAACCUUGGAAUUGCCUUUGAUACUGGCUAUCUUGAGUACGGAAGAGGUAUGUGGAACUCCGAGUGUAGAGGUGAAAUUCGUAGAUAUUCACAAGAACACCAGUGGCGAAGGCGGCUCACUGGCCCGAUACUGACGCUGAGGCACGAAAGCGUGGGGAGCAAACAGG
Molecule: ribosomal RNA, 253 nt
Filed under: uncultured bacterium
Lineage: Bacteria
Description: partial 16S ribosomal RNA
Rfam family: Bacterial small subunit ribosomal RNA
Source: RNAcentral